This is a long non-coding RNA of Coregonus clupeaformis (lake whitefish), 1218 nucleotides long. RefSeq lists it as uncharacterized. The record is from RefSeq and is a predicted model, not a curated record. NCBI's taxonomy places the organism in Eukaryota, Metazoa, Chordata, Actinopteri, Salmoniformes, Salmonidae. The transcript is spliced from 2 exons.
GUGGACCCGGGAAUCGAACCCAUUACCCUGUCGUUACAUGCACCAUGCUCUACCAACGGCUACAGAGGACCACCAUGAAAUGGUACUCCUUUUAUAUAAUUGUUGAGAGAUUUUCUUAAAGGUUUUAUGAAGUUAGUUGCUGUUCACCGUCCUCACUCUCAUCAGUAGAAGACGGUUGACUUCUCCAGUGGGGGGGAUUUAACCCAGUGUGUUUACACUGCAGUGCUGUCUGCUAGGCCCGGUAGGCUGGACAGACCAGCACUGACCUCUAAUGUUGAUGAGGAGGUGAGUGAUCUCCGUUUCUCCUGGAAGAACCACCACCACAGUUUGUAUCUCAAGGUGACCUUUAACCCCUACCCUUAAAAUGGAUAGUUCAACCAAAUGACAUAUUUAGUUCCCAAUCAUUCUAGUGCAGUCCACGCUUUUGGUUAGUUUACCUAGUCUCCCCUUGUCCAUAGAAUGCUUAUAGGGUAAGGAAACCAAGAUUAUGUUAUUUAGUUUUUUCGAUGAACAAUCCCUUUAACUCUGCAAUCCCUUUUAACUUUAUUUCUGUAAUAUUUGAAGUGCCUAGUUGUUUUAUGUACUGUUGGGGACAUCGUAGAUUUUAAAGACAGUUUUUAUUGGAGAGCUUUUUAUAUAAACUGACGGAUGACAUCGCUGUGAUCAUUUGUAGCGUGCACCAGCAGCUGAUGUUUUCUCAAUGCCCACCAAGCCAAUCACUGUACAGUGUCCAUGAUUUCUCUUCCUGCUUUGGACCCAUACAGAAUGUUUUGUAAUGUGUUUAGAGGACUUGUUUGAGUAGAGGGAUCGGGGAUCCUGAAACGUGACUGGGGGGGGUGGGGUGUUAUUGGAUGGUAUGGGGUCUUUUUUUAAUUAGUUAGCUAUUAUUUGUUUUAGUUGGAUAUCAUAGGGUGUCAUUUGGGACGUACAAUAGUAAUGUAAAGAAAAAUUGGAGAAAAGCCAAUCCACACGUGCUGCUGCAACGUGAUGCCAAGAGGGUACAAAUUAUUGACAGCAUAUUGUCAUAUUAUGAGACAUUUUCUGUCUAGUAUUUUUAAAUGUCCAGAUGUAGUCCGUUUGGCAUUGUGCUGAGCCUUGACUGUGCUGCGCUGAUAGUAAUUUUUUUUUAAAUGUCUAUCUCGCUUGCAACUACUCAUUUGGUUAGUAUUCCUUGAUGAAAUGGUUUGUAACUAUAAUAAAAGUUUAUUUCAAAUUAUA